GUCAGCUUUCCUUCUUGACCUAGCUGCUUUUACUGCACUUGCAAUACUGGUGUUCCGUGUUACGCUGGGCUACAAACAGACUAGGGAUAGAUACCAGCUUCUUGUUAAUAAGACGCUCUAUGAGAAGACAUUAGCAAGUGGCUUUGGUUCAGUUUACUUUCUUCUAGAUGCUUCCGAGCAACAGCAGUAUAAGGAAGCACUAUUGGCAUAUGCUAUGUUACUCGGCAGAAAUAAGUAUCAGGU
Long non-coding RNA from Triticum dicoccoides, 243 nucleotides. RefSeq lists it as uncharacterized. The record is from RefSeq and is a predicted model, not a curated record. NCBI's taxonomy places the organism in Eukaryota, Viridiplantae, Streptophyta, Magnoliopsida, Poales, Poaceae. The transcript is spliced from 3 exons.